UGCCCCUGAACGGGCGUCCGUUGGAGGUC
This 29-nucleotide small RNA is filed under the name Bombyx mori (domestic silkworm). RNAcentral's name for it is "ovarian small RNA-33729". Lineage: Eukaryota; Metazoa; Arthropoda; Insecta; Lepidoptera; Bombycidae. The record is from RNAcentral.